This 474-nucleotide ribosomal RNA is filed under the name uncultured organism. RNAcentral's name for it is "partial 16S ribosomal RNA". It matches the Rfam family "Bacterial small subunit ribosomal RNA", at positions 332 to 797 of the family's 1533-position model. The record is from RNAcentral.
UACACUCCUGCGGGAGGCAGCAGUGGGGAAUUUUGGACAAUGGGCGAAAGCCUGAUCCAGCCAUGCCGCGUGCAGGAUGAAGGCCUUCGGGUUGUAAACUGCUUUUGUACGGAACGAAACGGCCUUUUCUAAUAAAGAGGGCUAAUGACGGUACCGUAAGAAUAAGCACCGGCUAACUACGUGCCAGCAGCCGCGGUAAUACGUAGGGUGCAAGCGUUAAUCGGAAUUACUGGGCGUAAAGCGUGCGCAGGCGGUUAUGUAAGACAGUUGUGAAAUCCCCGGGCUCAACCUGGGAACUGCAUCUGUGACUGCAUAGCUAGAGUACGGUAGAGGGGGAUGGAAUUCCGCGUGUAGCAGUGAAAUGCGUAGAUAUGCGGAGGAACACCGAUGGCGAAGGCAAUCCCCUGGACCUGUACUGACGCUCAUGCACGAAAGCGUGGGGAGCAAACAGGAUUAGAUACCCCGGUAGUCCCA